ACGCUUGUGCGCAGGCGCGCGGGGCCGCCGUCGCAGCUACUUUCCUGCGCCGCUUCCUGCGAGGGAGCCCUAGUCUCUGCCCGGUCCGCAACGGCAACGUUGGUGUCACGGCGCGGUGUGGGCAAGACGGGUGACUGGCAGCAGGGCGGUGCUGGGCCGAGAAGUGUCUCAUCUGGCGCCUUCCGCUCUUCCUUUUCACCUCUGGGUUGCAGAGAGCCGCUAGGGCAGCCUCUAGGGCACAAUGUCUGAGCAACAGCGUAUACAGGAAUGUCUGCGGAAGGAAAUAAGAUCACUUCUCAUUUCCACCAAAGAUGGUUUGAGCCCACAGCAGUUGGAGAAGGAGUACCUUUUGAUGAUUGGCAACCAUCUACCACUCCGGAUCCUUGGGUAUCGGUCCACUAUGGAGCUGGUAUUGGACAUGCCUGAUGUUGUUAGUGUCUGCUCCGGUGCAGGUGGUACCGUAAUACUGAAAGCCAUUCCAGAUGAAUCUACCAAAGGAAUAGCAAGCUUAGUUGCAAAACAGAAGAGCAGCCAUAAGGUUCGAAACUGCAUGCAUAAGGGAAGGCCCAGUUUUUAUUCUGGACCAAGCUCUCAUCGGCGAGUACCUUACCGAGGAAGGGUUGCCCCUAUUCUUCCAGCUGUUGUGAAGAGUGAGUUGAAGGACCUGUUGGCGUUAUCUCCUGUUCUCCUUUCUGAUUUUGAAAAGGCAUUUGCCAAAAGAUUUGGACGAUCAUUCCAAUACACGCAAUAUGGAUUUCUCUCUAUGUUUGAAGUGCUAAAUGCAGCUUCAGAUAUCAUUUCUGUAGAGCAGACCAGAGCAGGUUCUUUGUUGAUGCUAAAGAAGAGUGUAAAAGAGGAAAAGUGGAGAGGAUGGCCAGCAGGUAAGAUUUUUACCCAGCCAUUUAGAAUGAAACAAGGGUCAUACUCCACAGGCUUUCCGGUAGCAAAGGCAUGCUUUUCACAACCCACUUCAAACAUGGAACCACCGAAGCAAAUAAUGAGCAUGGAAAAGACUUCCAACUUAAAUGUAGUGGAGACUUCAAGGCUGAAUCAGACUGAAAAAUUAAACCAGCUGGAGAACACAUUCAAAUCAGUUAUUGCACAAAUUGGACCUGGAGGAACUAUCAGUCCAGAACUAAAACAUAAGAUAAAAUUUGUUGUAUCUAAGUUCCCAGAGGGUUUGUUUAUUUCUAAACUGCUUGGAGAGUAUGAGGUAAUUUUUCAGGAGCAACUUUCACCAAAAAAAAUGGGCUUCUUAAAUGUGACAGAACUUGUUGGAGCUCUUAGUGACAUUCUGCAUGUUGAGUUCAGGGAAGGACAGCAAGACUUAGUAGUGUUUGAUGUUGAUAAGAAGCCUCUGCCUCCUGUUCAAUCAGAUAAGAAAAUAGAAGCCAAGGCUUAUGUCUCCAGUCCACCUAGAAAUUCACUGUCUACUGCUACUGUCAAAGAGACUGCAUGGAAUUGUCCUUCAAAAAACCAAAAAGAGCCACAACAGAAAAUUUGCAAGAAGCCUAAUGUGGUGGUAAAGCCUUUACAGCUGCAAGUGGAAAUAGACAAAUCACAACUCAACCUGGCAAUGGCAAAUCAUGACAUCCCACCAGAUGCUGUGCGUGACAAGAAAUUAUUCAGACUCCCACCAUUAGACACCAGUUCCCUUGUAGGGGUCUUUGUGGAGUAUAUCAUCUCUCCUAGUCAAUUCUACAUCCGGAUCUAUAGCAGGGAUUCAUCAGAGUUACUCGAAGAUAUGAUGAUUGAAAUGAGGCGCUGUUAUUCUAAUCAGCUGGUUUCUGAUCGAUAUGUCAUGCCAGAAUGUUUUAUUCAGCCGGGACAUCUCUGUUGCGUGAGGAUUUCUGAGGAUAAGUGGUGGUAUCGGGUCAUUAUCCAUCGAGUCCUUGGAAAACAGGAAGUUGAAGUGUUCUACCCAGACUUUGGAAAUGUUGGAACUGUUCAGAAGUCCUCCCUGAGGUUCCUCAAGUGCUGCUACACAAAGCUUCCAGCUCAGGCUAUCCCUUGUUCCUUGGCUUGGGUGAGACCAGUAAAGGAACACUGGACAUCAAAAGCUAUUCUGCAGUUCCAGAAGUUGUGUGGUUUGAAGCCAUUAGUGGGGGUAGUGGAUGAAUAUGUAGAUGGCAUCCUUAACAUUUUUUUGUGUGAUACAUCCUCAAACGAAGAUAUCUAUUUCCAUCAUGUCUUAAGAACAGAGGGCCAUGCUAUUGUAUGCCGAGAAAAUGUCUCUUCUAAGGGUUUCGGUGAGCUCAACCCUAUAGCUUUAUACACGAAAUCCAGUGGAGGGCCAGAGGACACUGUCUUGACAGAACUGGGUUAUCCUUCCCAGCAGCACUAUUUUAAUGAAGACCGAAUGAUAAGUCCACAGUCAAAAGAGAAUGAGUUACAUAUCCUGCAAGGUAUUAAUGAUGAAAAGUCUUUAAGUCAUCUGAAAUCUGAGUCAAAGGAGCCAUUAAAGGAUUCUGAAUUUGAUUCUUUGAAAACCUGCGAUAAGAGCUUUGAAGAAGAUCCAAAGUGGUCCAAUCCAGAGCCAAAAGAUCUGAAGGAAGAAAAUGAGGAUGAGAUCCCCACUGGAAUGCCAUGCCUGGAGUCAGUGACCAUAGGUGAUGAUAUUUGGGAUGAGAACUGGUUACCUGUGCAGGCUAAGAUGGGAAAAAGAGGUGAUGCUGCCUCUCGUCUAUUUACUGCAAGCCUUGGUGGAAAGAAUCAGUAUUCAUCAUGUAAAGAAAUGCCACAGAAGGAUUGGUGCUUUUCUACACCCAAAGAUAAAUGGGAUGAUUCUUGGCAGCCUUCAGGCCUUGUAAAUGGAACAAAAGUAGUUCAUAAAUCAGAAGGACUGGGUGCUCAGGAAAAAAAUACUGGCACAAACAAGAUUCAAAAGCAACUAGACUUAAAUGGCUCUUCAGAUUCUUCCACACUGCCCAAAUUGGAAGAAUGCUAUACCUCUCUUACCCAGUCAGAGCAGUCAGCAUACAGGAGCCAGUCUGAACUCAGCAACAGUCAGACUCAGCCAAAGCAAACUCAGCCUUCCACAGCAGUAUCCAGUUCAACUCCUGGAGUGGAUGUUUCUGCAGAACAGCCGUCUGGUUUUGUGGAAAGUUCUCCAGAGAUCCUAAAGAAUGAAGACUGUUCUAGCAGCCGUGCUAUUACAGUGUACAAAGACAAGAGUCAAGAAUCCAUGGAUCAGCUGUCAUUGAUUUUGUCUUAUGAGUGCCAGAUUUCCCAGAAGCUCUACAUUCCUCGAAGUACAGCCACUGCUGCCUUAGGUGCUGCCGCACGGUUAGCUACAUCCAGAAGCCUCCUACAGUGGUACCCCAGUGUGAAAAGGAUGGAAGCAUGAGGGAGGGAGGGAGAAAAACAGAAUCCAGCCACUUAGGGCUUGAAUAACUCCCAGGCCAAAAUGAGGAGGUACUGAAGCAAACUAGUAUCUUGAUCGUUGAUACUGUUGUCUUUCUGUGACUAUAUGUUAGCUUAAUUAUGCUAACAACCUACUUUGAUGUCUUCUGUAUCAUGGAGCAUCAUUAUGUCUUUGAAAUAUUGGGAUCAGUAAGAAAAUCUACACCCUGAAGCUUUGGUCAUAUGAAUACUUUUACAUUAAAAAAAAAUUAAGCCGUUUGUUUGCAGUAAAGGCAAUUUCUGAAAUGUAGCUGAGCCAUCUCGAUAAUUAUCACAGUUCCCAGGAGCCUAAUCGUAACAAUCGUUGAGCAGUGGCAUUGUUUGAGCAUUUAUAUAACAUGUUCGCUGAGGUCAAAUUGUGUGAAAUGUGUUAUGGCAGUCUGUUGAGCUCAUAGUAUAGAUCAUCAAAAAAGACCAAAGGUGACAUUUUAAAAUGUGAGUAGUGCUGGUUAAUUUUUUCUUUUUUGCCAGACUUACAUCUAGAUUUAAAAAGUAUUUUACUCACAGAAUUAACUCCCCAAACAGAAUCAUUUCUGAGAAAUAUGUAAAUAGUGAGCAUGCUUCAUGUAACAAAGUUCUCACCCUUACAGCUGCUCUUCUAAGGCCUCCUUAUUUGGCAUUAAAUGACAGAGCUGGUCUCCUGGUUCUUCUCUUUUUCUAUAAUAAGGAUUUUCUCCUUUUUCCUUCUCAACUAUUUAGUUAGCAAAAUAUCUACUACGGAAGGAAGUAGGAUGGGAGUAAAUAUGGAAAUACAUUCAGAGUAUUAUUUUAAAAAAAAGUUAAACCAAAAGUCUUUAAAUACUAAUCAUUUUCUGUUUAAAAGCCUUAGAGAAAACAUGUUUAAAUGUAAUAGAAUUUAAAAGCUCGGAUUCGUCUUUAGUUCCAGUAUAUCUAUAAGGAUAAUAUAAGGAUUAAACUAUUUGACAAAAAAAGACGAAGUAAUCUGGAAACAUGACUGAUAGUUAAUCCAACUGAUGAAACAGGUUUGGGCCUUUGUGAAUUUGUAUCAGAUAUCUUUUUACUGGAGAAGACAGCUGGAGAGUUAUGAGGAGGGUGAGUGGACAGUUAAAUAUCCUGUGAUGCUCAAUUGAUAAUGAACUGGUGGAGCUGUUUUUCAUAUAACUUUUGAUACUCAUACAAAAUGUGUUUCAAAAGAAGAAAAUUCAUUGUGAAGUGAUGGCUCUUCUGAUUCUUUCUUUAAAGAAGCCAAAUCUGAUAUUAUAGUUUACUUUUCCAGGUGAACACUUAACUGGGUUUGGGGCAAGAUGAAUCUGGUAUGUCUUAAGGGUUAACGGAUAUACAUUUAGUAAGCUAAACCAUAACCCUCUCUAUAAUAGCACCCAGCUACCAGGAGGCAGUCUGCCAAAGCUGGGUAGCCUUUUUGCAAGUUUCAUAGUUGGUUUCAUAAUCUGACAGGGACUCAUUUUACACCUUGCAAACUGGAUGGGGAUUAUAAAAUAACUGCUAAGGCUGUUUCAGAAUCUCAUUUGCCUGUGGCUGGAUAGAGAAUCAUUUAGACAAAACUAUCUCAAACUUCUUUCAAAUGAGUGUCAACACACUUUCAAAGAAGCCUGUUUAGUAAUUAAUAAUACCUUAUUUAUUUCAGUUGGUGUGAAGAAUGAACCUUUGAGAGGCUUGUACAUGUUGACUCCUUGGCUUUGAGUAGGAUAGUCACCCUGUCAGUCAUCUGUUUACUUAUAUCUUCUCCCAAAAAGGUGGCCUUUGGUAAUUAAAGUUAUCAGCAAAGUAUCAAACAAAGUAGAUGCAUCAUUUGAAAAUGAGUAAAUAGAUUUCUGUAUAUGAGCAGGAACAGUGUUGAAAAGGUAUGUAGAUGCUAUUGUCAAAAGAUGAGCUGACAUCUAUACUUUGAACAGUUCCCUACCCCACCCCCAGCAUUUUUGGUAUUCAGGAGCUGUUUGCAGUAAUGGAGGUCCCCAAGGAAUGUUGAAUGGGAAGUGGGAGCCUGAGGUAGGUGAAAGGAAAUGAGUGAGAACAUAAAGGAAAAUCCUGGUGCUAAACUCUUUAGGGAUGGAAGGGACUAAGGAGUCUGGCUUGCCUCUGACUGGCUUGACUAAAAGCGACUCUGGUUUCAACUCCAGUGGCUUGUAGCCAAUAAUACCCAUUCUCCCAUCCAAAAAUACCCCAAAAGGCUGGGCACAGUGGCUUAUGCUUAUAAUCCUAGCACUUAGGGAGGCUGAGUUGGGUGGAUCACUUAAGGCCAGGAGUUUGAGAUCAGCCUGGCAAACAUGGUGAAACCCCAUCUCUACUGAAAAUACAAAAAUUAGCCCUGUGUGGUGGCAUGCACCUGUAGUCCCAGCUACUCAGGAGCAGAGGUUGCAGUGAGCUGAGAUUGCACCACUGCACUCCAACCUUAAAACCCAUGAGAUAGCAAAAGAGGAGCCAUUCCAGGCAGCAGGCAGCCUUUCACCUCCAAACUUGACAUGUUUGAGAUGUCAGUUACCCGUUUUAAGGCAUGGGGAGUACUAGAGGCUUCUGCCCACUAUCAGUCAGCUUGUGUCUAACCUAGAGAUGUAGAAUUACAGAAUUUUGAUCUAGAAGGGAACUUACAUGAGCAAAUUUGAUGUCGAGAAAGAUUAACUUGACAGCAGCCAGCGGUGGCUGGCAAGAUGGAUGAAUAGGAACAGCUCCCAGUGAGAUCAACACAGAAGGUGGGUGGUUUCUGCAUUUCUGACUGAGUCAAGACCCACCCGUGUGCUGUAUUCAGGAGACCCAUCUCAUGCACAAAGGCACACAUAGGCUCAAAGUAAAGGGAUGGAGGAAUAUUUAUACCAAACAAAUAGAAAAAAAAAAAAGCAGGGGUUUCAGUCCUAGUCCCUGAUAAAACAGACAUAAACCAACAAAAAUCAAAAAAGACAAAGAAGGGCAUCACAUAAUGGUAAAGGGAUCAAUGCAACAAGAA
Non-coding RNA from Callithrix jacchus (white-tufted-ear marmoset), 6322 nucleotides. Lineage: Eukaryota; Metazoa; Chordata; Mammalia; Primates; Cebidae. The record is from RefSeq and is a predicted model, not a curated record.